CGUAGGGUGCGAGCGUUAAUCGGAAUUACUGGGCGUAAAGCGUGCGCAGGCGGUUUUGUAAGACAGGCGUGAAAUCCCCGGGCUCAACCUGGGAACUGCGUUUGUGACUGCAAGGCUAGAGUACGGCAGAGGGGGGUGGAAUUCCACGUGUAGCAGUGAAAUGCGUAGAGAUGUGGAGGAACACCAAUGGCGAAGGCAGCCCCCUGGGUCGAUACUGACGCUCAUGCACGAAAGCGUGGGUAGCAAACAGGAUUAGAUACCCUGGUAGUCCACGCCCUAAACGAUGUCAACUAGGUGUUGGGUGGGUAAAACCAUUUAGUACCGGAGCUAACGCGUGAAGUUGACCGCCUGGGGAGUACGGCCGCAAGGUUA
Molecule: ribosomal RNA, 372 nt
Filed under: uncultured organism
Description: bacterial SSU rRNA
Rfam family: Bacterial small subunit ribosomal RNA
Source: RNAcentral